UAGGGAAUCUUCGGCAAUGGACGAAAGUCUGACCGAGCAACGCCGCGUGAGUGAAGAAGGUUUUCGGAUCGUAAAACUCUGUUGUUAGAGAAGAACAAGGACGUUAGUAACGGAACGUCCCCUGACGGUAUCUAACCAGAAAGCCACGGCUAACUACGUGCCAGCAGCCGCGGUAAUACGUAGGUGGCAAGCGUUGUCCGGAUUUAUUGGGCGUAAAGCGAGCGCAGGCGGUUUCUUAAGUCUGAUGUGAAAGCCCCCGGCUCAACCGGGGAGGGUCAUUUGAAACUGGGAGACUUGAGUGCAGAAGAGGAGAGUGGAAUUCCAUGUGGAGCGGUGAAAUGCGUAGAUAUAUGGAGGAACACCAGUGGCGAAGGCGGAUCUCUGGUCUGUAACUGACGCUGAGGCUCGAAAGCGUGGGGAGCAAACAGG
Molecule: ribosomal RNA, 429 nt
Filed under: Chloroflexota bacterium
Lineage: Bacteria; Bacillati; Chloroflexota
Description: Chloroflexi bacterium partial 16S ribosomal RNA
Rfam family: Bacterial small subunit ribosomal RNA
Source: RNAcentral